Molecule: ribosomal RNA, 216 nt
Filed under: uncultured bacterium
Lineage: Bacteria
Description: partial 16S ribosomal RNA
Rfam family: Bacterial small subunit ribosomal RNA
Source: RNAcentral
GACGAACGCUGGCGGCGUGCCUAAUACAUGCAAGUCGAACGAACUCUGGUAUUGAUUGGUGGUUGCAUCAUGAUUUACAUUUAAGUGAGUGGCGAACUGGUGAGUAACACGUGGGAAACCUGCCCAGAAGCGGGGGAUAACACCUGGAAACAGAUGCUAAUACCGCAUAACAACUUGGACCGCAUGGUCCGAGCUUGAAAGAUGGCUUCGGCUAUC